AUGUCAGUUGUUCGCAUUGCAAAUGGCGGCUCCUUGUUAUUGUUCAUGGCGUUUUAUGACUUGUCCCUUUAUAUUACCGAUUAUGUCGAGUUUUUUCGUGAUUCCUACCGCGCGCUGUGUGCAAAAAGUGAAAUAAGACUUGCGCGGCAUAUUUUAGAUUAAAAUUAGUGUUCUUGUGGUGUGGCUCCGUGCAUUUUGAACGCGAGAAAUCCCGCACGAAGUUGGAAAGAAAUGGGAAACAAUAAAUAUAUUUGUUAGUGUUGGAGUGGUUUGGAGUUGUCGGUUUAAAACCGACAGUCAAACAUCUUAUCACCACAUAUUCUAGUGGUACCCUGAGGCGUUUGAACCUCUCUGGGUAGUAUGUGAUUUGUGGUUGUCAUGGCGGCUGAUAGUGAUGGUGAUCUAAUUCAAACAGUCAUAACGUGUGAAGGUAAUUUAGAAGAUCCAGAGUUUCCACACAAAUUUAAAAUCAUUGUUGAUCAUCUUAAAUCUUUGCUUUGCAAAGAUAAUGGGGAUGGUUUAAGAGUAAAUAAGGUAGAGCCAUGGAAUUCUGUCAGAGUCACAUUUUCAAUACCCAGAGAAGCUGCACUACGUCUUCGAGAAUUAGCAGCCCAGGGUUCUCCAACACUUACACAACUUGGAAUUCUUUCAGUACAAGUUGAGGGAGAUCAGGUAAUAUCAUUGAGGAUAGCUAAUCGCUUUAGUGGAGAGGCACAGGAAAUUGUAUUACGUUCAGGAUCUUCACAAGACAAUAGUGCCAAAUCUCAAAAUGAAUCCACUAGCAAUACAUCUAAUAUGGAUAGUGAACCUCCAACAGCUUUACCUGGUCCAAGUAAUACAACUAGUAUUUCUUCAGCAUUACGUAAUGUGGCUCAAAUAAUUGCAGCUGGUACAUCAUCGGAAAAAGUACCACAAUUUCGUUCUCCAAAUGUAGUUGCACCUACAGACUGUGAUCCUAUUCCACCUUUUCUUGCAAAAUCUGUACAGUCCGCAUCAGGCAGUAACAAUGUUGGUGCCUCUGGAAAUCAAACUGUAACUAAUCCCAGUGCUUCGCCUAGGAAUAAUUAUAAUGGUCCAUUCCCAUUUGCCAGUAUGACACAUGCUGCCCAAGCAAUUCAUAAUCGUGAAUCACAAGCAACCACAAUUAAAAAUACAAUGCAAUUUAAACAUCAUGUUCAGCCACCUCCGCCUUAUCCUGCUCAAGAGAAUUUGGCGACAGUAACAACAUUAACAGCUGGUCAUACUACUACUCAAUCAGUUGUAUCAGUUGGUCAGUUAACAAAUCAGUACAAGUCUUCAAUUACUACUACAUCUAGUCUGUCACCAAACAAUAACAAUCUGGCAGGGAAUUCAAAUGGUAAUGGAAAUCAAGUUGCUUUGUCCAGUCCACUUCUUGUUAAUCUUUUACAAAAUGAUGCUAACACGCAUCCAAAUAAUGUGAUAUCUGGUCAGAAAAUGUUACCACCAGCAGUCAUUGAUAAUUCUGGACUUACAAAUCGUAUGAGACCCACUAAAAAACCAACAGUUAGAAGAAAAGAUUUAGCUUCACCUAAUGAAUCGCCACCGAAUUUAGAUUCUCUUAGAACAGAGGAUCUUAUAGGAGGAACAACAGUAGUUUCUGACUUAUCUCAAUCUUCUACAUCUGCAUUUGCAACUGUUAAUGCUAAUCAAUCUUCAACUAUUUCUCAACAACAUCCAGUUAAUGUAAUUAGUGGCGUUGCACAAAAUAUAGACCAGCAAGCAGUACAUCAAGCUUCUGUUAGUGGACAAAUACAACAACCUGCAUCAUCACUACAUGCUCAAGUACAAAUACAGCAAAAGUUUCCCAUCAGACAAGAAUUGGCUUAUAGAUCAUCGCAAGUACAAUUACAAAGUCAACUUCCAAUUAGACAUCCAGUAAAUGGACAGCAAAUUCGAACACCUUUGCAACAACGACAGUUACUUCUUCAACAGCAACAGCAACAUCAAGUUCAUUUAACACAACAACAACAACAACAACAACAACAACAACAACAACAAUUGAAUCAACAAAAUAUAAAUUCUCCCCAUUUACUUACACAACAAAUUUCAACUCAACAACAAUCUUUGGUACAAUCGCAAAAUGUAAAUACAUCGUUACAACCUACAUCCGUUUCCAGUCAACCACUUUUGCAACAACAACAAUUAAUGCAACAUUCGUCAGUAGGCAUAAAUGUUCCACAGCAACGGCUUAGUUACUUAAAUAAUCAACGUCAACAAACUCCACCUCCUUAUUCACGACAACAAGUUCCACCACAGUCCCAUUUAGGACAACAAAAUCAAGUAUUGAAUGUGCAACAACAAUUACAUCAUAAUCAACUUAAAAAUGUUAAUGUUAACACUAAUGCCACAACUGAUUUUCGUUAUGGACAAAGUCAAAAUAUUUUAAGCAGAAAUUAUCAAACUACAACUAGUACUGCUAAUGGGACCACGUGGAACGCACAAAAUAAUUCUAUUCCACAAGGUGCUCAGGUUAAUACUAUUCGUCUGCCAACUACGAAUCAGGUUUCAGGUGCCUUUUCUCAGUGUGGAUCUCAUAGUAAUCAUAUUUCUAAUAGUAAUAUUGUUUCACCUGCUACUAAAGUUGAAACUUCUGAAUCUCCUAAUCCUAAAGAAGAGACACCUGAACCAGAAUAUACAUCAACUGGUAAAAUACGACAGUUUCUUAUUAACCCUUUAACUGGGCAUUUGGAACCAAUGCCUAGUGAGAGCUCGGAUUCAGAACCAGAAAGUGCAGUAGAUAAUCAAGAUGAUUUCUUUUCCUUUCCAUCGCCAUCAAAUGAUCGAUCAAAUUCCAUAUUUUCCGACGACGAUGCAGACAGUAAUUUCUCAAGAAGAAAUGAUACAACAACAAAUACGGAUCAGUCAGAUUCUGAAACCACAGUGAAAUCUACUGCCAGUGAAGGAAGUUUGAAGCAUAGCAGAAUAAAAUCUAACAGAGAAACCGCACAAAGUCCGAUGCCUGGAGAGAAAAUCAAAUUAAGACUAAAAUUAGAAAAAUCUGAACCUGUUACACCAGCUUAUAAAGUUGAUGUUUCGUUCGUAAACACACCACCGAUUAGAAAAGCUGAUAAAUCAGUAAAUAAAAUGUUUACUGGUAUUCCCAACUCAGGAACUGGUGAUGAACCAAGAGUGCCUCCCUUACACAUUUCUUUAAGAGGACGUAAUGCUUCUGUAGUACAAAUCAGAAAAAAAGAAAAGAAAUCCUUAAAAGAUGGUGAGUCUGAUCCUACUAAUAUAAAAAGGAGAGGGAAAUUAAAAAAAAUGAAAGAAUGUAUAGAUGGGAACAAAUUGUUGCAAAAAAAGUCAUCUUUAAGCAUGAUUAUAGGUACUUCAUCUGCAUCUAAAUUACCUUUAUCUAAUAACACGAUGAUCAACAGUACCAAUUCUAUUAGCAAAGUUAAUAAUAUACUUCAAACAGUUGUAUCAAAACCUAAUGCCUUAAAACAAGAAUUAUCUAUGGAUGUUGUACGUGUACAAACUGGUGUUACAAAACCAAGUUCAAGUAAAAGUAGCGAUGUCGAUGACAUACCAUUAAACAGUCGAAUACCAUCUCCUUCAAAACAUAAAUCCACUAUUUUGAAUCAACCUUUGAAUACACAACAAUCUUUAACAAAAAAUCAAGUUGAACUAGAUGUUCAAAAUCAUGUUCAGGAGCAUAAAAUAGGAGGAGGAAAAACUAAAAGAAGAGAUUCUAAAAAGAAAUCAGAAUCAGGAGACGGUUUACAUCGUGAACAAAACUUAUUAUCUGGUGGUAGAAUUUUAGAUAAUCAAGCAAAAUGGAGAAAACUUAAUUAUAAAGGUGAUUCAAGUCAAUCUGUAAGAAAAGUUGAUACACUUUUGACUGGCAAUGAUUUCAAUACUGUCAAAAAAGUAGGAGAAAUCAGAAGAACGAGCGAUAGUGAAAUUACUCGAUCAAUCGAAAAGAAUACCUUAAAUGCUGUUGCUUCAAGAUUAACUGAAGUAAAUGGUGUAAAAAAAGAUUUAAUUAGUCAAGAAAAAAGGAGAAGAUUAAGUUUAAUGGAUGAGAAAGAUCUGCAUUUAGGAGAAUCUCAAGAUGCAGAAACCACACAUUUUAAUAAUCAGAAGACCAUUUCUGAAUGUUCUUCAGCCAGUACAGUUCCAAAUACAAAUACAAAUACAAAUACAAAUACAAAUAUAAAAUCUGCUAGUAAUUCAUCAUUUGAGAAUGAAACUUCUGGAUUAGUAGCACCAAUUAUAUCUACACAAAAUGAUUCAAAUUCAUCUACUAAUAUUGAAAAUAAAGUAUCUACACAUGUCGAAACUUCUAUGAAAAAUACACAAUCAACUGUAAAUAGAAUUAUUUCUGGAAAAAUUAAAACAGAAACAGAUAAUUGCAAAACAAAUUGUAAUAUUAUAACAAAAAGUCAAACUAUUAAUCAGAAAUUAAAACAUAUGGUUUCAAAAAAUGAUGCAAAUACUAUCAUUAACAGACAUAAUAAAAUAGAACAUAUUGGUCAUAAAAAAGUAAUUCAGAAUCAUGUAAAACAACCUGACCGAUCCACAGUAGAAAACAAAGUGGAUAAUACACAAAGAAUUAGUUUAUUAAAAACACAAUGUUCAACAAUAGGAAACUCAAUGGACCAAGUUCCCAGAUCCCAAAAUGUUGAUGUACCUACCAGCAAGCCAACUUUACCAAUUGGAGAAAUUAAUGUAACAGAAGCAAAAGUUAAACAAAAAUUACUUGAAACUACAGUUCCAAUUGCAAUUGGUGUGGAUGCAAGUGUAGAAAGAGUCAGCAGUGGAGGAGGUGGUGAAGAUUCAGGUAUUGAGUCAAUGGAUGCUCUAUCAGAGAAAUCACCAAAUCAAGGGGAAUCUCCUUUGCAUAGGCCAGUGACUGAAUCAGUAACACAAAGCAGUGCAAAGACUGCUAUUCAAGGGGAAUCUACCCUACCAAUCACCAAUAAGAACGUGCCUUCCUCAACUAGUAGUAGUGAUAUGUGUUCAAAUUCCCAUUCGGAACUUCUAAAAUCCAGUGGCCCGCAAAGGUUAAGUCCUGUGUCUGUAGCAAGUUAUCUUGAAAAUCAUUUAAAUCGUAAUAUAUCAAAUUCCAGUGAACAUGACACAAAAAAUAUAUCUAGUGAAAAUUCAACUUCAACAAUACAGAGAACUGGUGGUCAUAGUGACUUGAUUCCUAGUUUAGAAGUGACUGAUAAAAGUGUAUCCAGCCCUCUAGUGUCAGGAUCUGUGACUAUUGUGACUACUUCUGUAUCCAGUACUGUGGAUAGUGAUAACUUAUUGCAAUGCGCACAGCAACAAACAAAUGACUUUUCUGAAAAAGACAAUUGUAGCAUUAAAUUAGAAGCUUCUAUCAAUCAGCAUGAGCAGGGUAAGACAAAUAUUAAACAUGAAGUGUCAAGAACCCCAGAAAGUGCAUCUGAAGACAAUGUAAAAACAGUCAUAGAUGGUAAUAGUGCAAUUAGAUUAAAUGAUGAACCUCAUGGACAAAAUAAUAAUGGUGUGCCUGUAAUACAAAAUCAUGUUGCUUAUAAUAAGAUAAAGACAGAAAAACUUGAUACUACACUUACAAAUGAGGCUAAGGUGGUAGUAGACAACUCAUGUUCUAGUAGUUCAAGUUUUAGUUCUGAAAUCAAAGUAGAAUCUAAUGUUAAUGAAAAAGUUGAUGAUACAAGGCAAAAUGAUCGAUCAGAUAAUACAAAAAACUCUUUAAGUGUAACAUCUGUUAAGUUAGAACAUUGUUCCGAUCAAAACCAAAAAUCUAAUGUACAAAGUCAUCAACAAAUAUCUGUUAGGGAGUCUUCUAUGAAUCUUCAAAAAGUUGCAGAUGAUUUGGUUAAGAAAAUUGUAAAUGAUGCAAGUGAUAUAAACAUAGGUAUUCAAUCACCUCUUGGUGAAGAUCCUCAACCAAUUAGAAUUACUCCACCAUUAUAUACAUACUCUAAUCCAGUAGUUUUACAAAGAGAUGAGACUCCAAGCCCAGCAGCACAAAAUCCAGAAGUGGAUUCGAGUGAUGUUGAACAUGUCAAAAGAAAACGUAGGAGAAAACAAGAAUUAGAAGGACGACAAGAUGUUAUAUGUAUAGAAGACAAUGAUGAAACACAAUUUGUAGAAAGAUUGAAUUCUAAUAAUACAGAUGAUUAUGUUAAAAGACCACCAAAAUCAUUGUUAGAACAACUUCUAAUAGAAAUACCGAAUGAUACUAAUGAGAAGAGAUCUCUAAGAACAAGAUCUCAGAAAUUAAAUAGUCCUGAUAUCAUAAAGACUCCAAAAGGUAGUCCUCAUGGUCCUAAUAAAUUAGAAGAGAGACGCAGCAUAUCACCUUAUGCUAAAGCAAGUCCUAAAUUAGGAGUAUCUAAAUUAUCUCCUAAUACGACAAUAAAAGUGGGGAAAAGAAAACGUCAGGAAAGUGAAAGUUCUGUAGCAUCUAGCACUGCUGAUGAUCCACAACCACGACCAGGAAAAAGAAAAUGUUCAGAAAAUGCUGCAGAACUUAUAAAAGCUUGUAUGGGUGUUGAUGAAGCUGCUUUAAAGAAACAAGUACCUGUCAAAGAAGAACAGCCAAAAAAGGGAUUUAAUAUACUGGCUAAGACUAAAAAAGGUCCCAUUGUGGUAGAAGUAGAUUCGUCUGAUGAUGAGCCAUUGAUUGAAUCUGUAGGAAAAGCAAGAAUGCGAUUAUCAGACGAAACAUCCGCUGCAUCUCCAAAAUCUAAAGAUCAAAAGUAAGCAACAUCGGUUCAGCAUUCUUUUAGCAGCAGCAUAUCUGAAUUUGUCAGAGAUUUGAGAGCCCCGCUACUAAUAGAGUGCAAAGAGAGAGCCGUUUGUUAACUACUAAACAACCGAAUACAACCGCGAUAGUUACCGCCGGAAAGGAAAGGCUACGUGGUACUUCCAUAUCCAAUAAUGAAUCCUUAGGAGAAGUUACAA
This 6924-nucleotide unclassified non-coding RNA is filed under the name Apis dorsata (giant honeybee). Its description in RNAcentral is "putative mediator of RNA polymerase II transcription subunit 26, transcript variant X9". The record is from RNAcentral. Lineage: Eukaryota; Metazoa; Arthropoda; Insecta; Hymenoptera; Apidae.